Molecule: long non-coding RNA, 822 nt
Filed under: Chrysolophus pictus (golden pheasant)
Lineage: Eukaryota; Metazoa; Chordata; Aves; Galliformes; Phasianidae
Description: lncRNA (ENSCPIG00010004970.1)
Source: RNAcentral
UGCGUCUCUGCGGCUCCCCGGCGUGCUUUGGUCCUGCAAGGCUGAAGCGCAGCCGGCUGGUUUGCCUGAGGCUUAAGCUGUGAAGCGAGCGGGUUUGGGAGCGUUGUUGGAGCCUUUGGGGACUUUACUGUUGGUUUUGUUGAGCUGCAGUGAUGCGAGCAGGUGUGGUGUCUGUGCGGAAGGCAGAGCGGUGUGCUGUGCUGCGCGUGAGCUUCGAGGCGGCGGCAGAGGCAGGUGGUGGAAGCGGCCCUGGUGGCUGCUGGCAGCCUCCGUGAGAGCCGUGGGAGCUGUCUGAUGGCUGGGGUUGGUCGUGCCCCCGACUGAAGCAGAAGCGCAGUGGGCAAAGGAAGGGUGACUUGCGGGAUACGAGCAGGGGAUUUUGUGUUUCGGUGGCGUACGGAUCUGUUGCCUUUUCUGAUGUGUUUUUGUGCAUUGGUGUUUCAGGAGUCUGAAUGAGGACUGGAGGAAAAACCCCGCUGGAAUUUGUGCCGAGCAAAGCUCGGGCGAGGAAUGGAUCCACACGCCUUGGUGCUCUGUUUGAGUGGGGAGGAAUGGGCAUGGCUGAAGGAUCCCAUCCUUGAGCUGCAUUAGAAGCAAAUGGUGAUGCCUGGUGGCAGAAGAAAGGGCAGUGGAACGGCUCCGCAGGGCGGUGGUGAUGGCAGCAAGCUGCCAGAGCUCAAGGAGCAUUUGGACAAUGGAAAUAUAUCAAUAAUUGUCACUCCUCUAAGUAAGUUAAGCUUUCGAGUCUUGAGCCAUCAAGCGUUAAAGUCUGAUGUCCUCCUGGGAAGUGCUGCCCUGGAUAUUCAUGAGACUUUGAAAUGA